CGCACGGGUGAGUAACGCGUAACUGACCUACCUCCAAGUUCAGCAUAACGUCUCGAAAGAGACGCUAAUUCUGAAUGUGAUCCCACCUCGUGUGGUGUGAUUAAAGAACUUCGCUUGGAGAUGGGGUUGCGUUCCAUCAGCUAGUUGGUGGGGUAAAGGCCUACCAAGGCGACGACGGAUCACCGGCCUGAGAGGGUGGCCGGUCACAGGGGCACUGAGACACGGGUCCC
RNAcentral lists this ribosomal RNA (230 nucleotides) under uncultured bacterium. RNAcentral describes it as "partial 16S ribosomal RNA". It matches the Rfam family "Bacterial small subunit ribosomal RNA", at positions 99 to 334 of the family's 1533-position model. The record is from RNAcentral.